RNAcentral lists this long non-coding RNA (480 nucleotides) under Nicotiana benthamiana. Its description in RNAcentral is "long non-coding RNA (NBEN_LNC005135)". The record is from RNAcentral. Lineage: Eukaryota; Viridiplantae; Streptophyta; Magnoliopsida; Solanales; Solanaceae.
UUCUGAUAGUGCAGACUACCAAUUUUGUAUGUACCUUAAAAUGUGAUAUUGAACAUGAAAUGAUGAUGCAAAAACACGUUAAAUGAAGCUAAGAAAAUUAAUUAGUGGAGGGGGAGAAAAAUAGACAAGUCUUUGUUUGACAUCCCAAAACAAAAGUGAAAUCUUCCCGAUGGUUAUUUGCAAUUAAAGAACAAAUUCUUUUCUACAGAAACAACUAAAGAAACUACAUGCUAGUAUUAAAUGUUUUCUGAUAAUGCAGGCUACCUUAAAAUGUGAUAUUAGAUGUUUUUCUUCUGCUACGUCUCUAUUACUCUUGCUAUUUAAACUUCAUAUGCAUAUUUGAUGGUAUUUCAAGUCUGUACUAUUAGUUCCAGUUUUGCGUCUCAAAAAUUAAAAUAAUUUACUUCUGUCCAGCAACUUCAUCAACCAACAAUAAAUGCACUCCUUUUUUUAGGGUUCGGAUGGUUUUGUGUAAAUAUG